GAUGAAGAACGCAGCGAAAUGCGAUAAGUAGUGUGAAUUGCAGAAUUCAGUGAAUCAUCGAAUCUUUGAACGCACAUUGCGCCCCUUGGUAUCCCGAGGGGCAUGCCUGUUCGAGCGUCAUUUCACCACUCAAGCCUGGCUUGGUGUUGGGCGACGUCCUCUUUGGGGACGCGCCUCGAAACGCUCGGCGGCGUGGCACCGGCUUUAAGCGUAGCAGAAUCUUUCGCUUUGGAAGUCGGGGCCCCGUCUGCCGGAAGACCUGCUCGCAAGGUUGACCUCGGAUCAGGCAGGGAUACCCGCUGAACUUAAGCAUAUCAAAAGCGGAGGA
RNAcentral lists this unclassified non-coding RNA (328 nucleotides) under soil metagenome. RNAcentral's name for it is "partial contains 5.8S ribosomal RNA, internal transcribed spacer 2, and large subunit ribosomal RNA". The stretch from base 1 to 120 matches the Rfam family "5.8S ribosomal RNA", at positions 35 to 154 of the family's 154-position model. The record is from RNAcentral.